This is a long non-coding RNA of Brachypodium distachyon (stiff brome), 704 nucleotides long. RefSeq lists it as uncharacterized. The record is from RefSeq and is a predicted model, not a curated record. The transcript is spliced from 2 exons. Lineage: Eukaryota; Viridiplantae; Streptophyta; Magnoliopsida; Poales; Poaceae.
AAUCAACUCGUGCUGCAAGACUUUAAUACCCGAAACCCAUGUUUUCUUCACUUCCUCGCCUACUCCCGUGCUCGUCUCCUCCCCUCUCUGCUCAUCCUUCUCCUCUCCUCUGCGCCUCCGCAUCUCCUCUCUGGUUGCCUUUGCCACGCUCCCUCUCACCUCCGCGCGCCGUGCUCGUCCACCUCCCCUCUUGCUGCGCCCCAACUUCCCCUCCCCAGUGUUGCACUCCCUCAUGAAGAAUCCGGUGGCGGCGAGUCCAGCUCCGGUGGCGGAGAGGCCAGAUCCUCUGGUGGUGUGGCCGGAUCCGGUGGCGGAGAGGACCGAUCCGGCGGUGGCGAGGAGGGUCUCUUGCAAGAGGAUAGAUCCACCGGUGGCAAGGCCGGAUCCGGUGGCGGAGAGGAUGGAUCAGGUGCGGCAUCUGGCGGCGGCCGACGACAUCGCCCUCCUAGAGUCAUUGUUGAGUGUAAUUGUAAUAUUUUGAAAAGUGUAAGACUUAAUUGCAAAGUUGCCUUGUGAAUGAGGCCGCGCCAAUCUUUUCGGCACGAAGGAAGUACCAUAAAAGAGCGCAUUCUGACAGCCCAAAAAUGGUUCGUAGCAGGAGAGUUUAUUUUUGCUUUUUCUUGUAACCCCUCUUAUUUUCAAUCUCUUGACUUUUAAUUUUAUUAGCUUUUAAUUUUAACUUCUACAUCUAUCAACUUUUAAUA